This 1260-nucleotide ribosomal RNA is filed under the name Lacticaseibacillus casei. RNAcentral describes it as "bacterial SSU rRNA". It matches the Rfam family "Bacterial small subunit ribosomal RNA", at positions 68 to 1304 of the family's 1533-position model. Lineage: Bacteria; Bacillati; Bacillota; Bacilli; Lactobacillales; Lactobacillaceae. The record is from RNAcentral.
GAUGAUCGGUGCUUGCACCGAGAUUCAACAUGGAACGAGUGGCGGACGGGUGAGUAACACGUGGGUAACCUGCCCUUAAGUGGGGGAUAACAUUUGGAAACAGAUGCUAAUACCGCAUAGAUCCAAGAACCGCAUGGUUCUUGGCUGAAAGAUGGCGUAAGCUAUCGCUUUUGGAUGGACCCGCGGCGUAUUAGCUAGUUGGUGAGGUAAUGGCUCACCAAGGCGAUGAUACGUAGCCGAACUGAGAGGUUGAUCGGCCACAUUGGGACUGAGACACGGCCCAAACUCCUACGGGAGGCAGCAGUAGGGAAUCUUCCACAAUGGACGCAAGUCUGAUGGAGCAACGCCGCGUGAGUGAAGAAGGCUUUCGGGUCGUAAAACUCUGUUGUUGGAGAAGAAUGGUCGGCAGAGUAACUGUUGUCGGCGUGACGGUAUCCAACCAGAAAGCCACGGCUAACUACGUGCCAGCAGCCGCGGUAAUACGUAGGUGGCAAGCGUUAUCCGGAUUUAUUGGGCGUAAAGCGAGCGCAGGCGGUUUUUUAAGUCUGAUGUGAAAGCCCUCGGCUUAACCGAGGAAGCGCAUCGGAAACUGGGAAACUUGAGUGCAGAAGAGGACAGUGGAACUCCAUGUGUAGCGGUGAAAUGCGUAGAUAUAUGGAAGAACACCAGUGGCGAAGGCGGCUGUCUGGUCUGUAACUGACGCUGAGGCUCGAAAGCAUGGGUAGCGAACAGGAUUAGAUACCCUGGUAGUCCAUGCCGUAAACGAUGAAUGCUAGGUGUUGGAGGGUUUCCGCCCUUCAGUGCCGCAGCUAACGCAUUAAGCAUUCCGCCUGGGGAGUACGACCGCAAGGUUGAAACUCAAAGGAAUUGACGGGGGCCCGCACAAGCGGUGGAGCAUGUGGUUUAAUUCGAAGCAACGCGAAGAACCUUACCAGGUCUUGACAUCUUUUGAUCACCUGAGAGAUCAGGUUUCCCCUUCGGGGGCAAAAUGACAGGUGGUGCAUGGUUGUCGUCAGCUCGUGUCGUGAGAUGUUGGGUUAAGUCCCGCAACGAGCGCAACCCUUAUGACUAGUUGCCAGCAUUUAGUUGGGCACUCUAGUAAGACUGCCGGUGACAAACCGGAGGAAGGUGGGGAUGACGUCAAAUCAUCAUGCCCCUUAUGACCUGGGCUACACACGUGCUACAAUGGAUGGUACAACGAGUUGCGAGACCGCGAGGUCAAGCUAAUCUCUUAAAGCCAUUCUCAGUUCGGACUGUAGG